CCUACGGGUGGCAGCAGUGAGGAAUAUUGGUCAAUGGACGAGAGUCUGAACCAGCCAAGUAGCGUGCAGGAUGACUGCCCUAUGGGUUGUAAACUUCUUUUAUAAAGGAAUAAAACGAGGCACGUGUGCCUUUUUGCAUGUACUUUAUGAAUAAGGAUCGGCUAACUCCGUGCCAGCAGCCGCGGUAAUACGGAGGAUCCGAGCGUUAUCCGGAUUUAUUGGGUUUAAAGGGUGCGUAGAUGGGUUGUUAAGUCAGUGGUGAAAGUUUGCGGCUCAACCGUGAAAUUGCAAUUGAUACUGGCAGUCUUGAGUACAGUUGAGGUAGGCGGAAUUCGUGGUGUAGCGGUGAAAUGCUUAGAUAUCACGAAGAACCCCGAUUGCGAAGGCAGCUUACUAAACUGUGACUGACAUUGAUGCUCGAAAGUGUGGGGAUCAAACAGGAUUAGAUACCCCUGUAGUC
This 460-nucleotide ribosomal RNA is filed under the name uncultured bacterium. Its description in RNAcentral is "partial 16S ribosomal RNA". It matches the Rfam family "Bacterial small subunit ribosomal RNA", at positions 338 to 795 of the family's 1533-position model. The record is from RNAcentral.